CACUUUCUCCCAUCACGCUCAGGUGGGACCAUCCAGUUUCAGGAAAACAAGCUUAACACGCCCACUGAUUCUACAUUAUGCUCCUACCUCCCGGCAGCCUCGCCAGGCCCAGAACUCUCUCCAGUCAGCCUCUACAGACCAAGCUCAUGACUCACAAUGGCCUAUUUAGGCCCAUAGCCUACCUCACGGCAGUCUCCGCAGAUGAGCCUACUGCCUCACAACAGCCUCCACAGGCACAGCUCCAUCGUUACAAUGGCCUCUUUAGACCCAGCUCCUGCCGCCCAGCCUUCUCUCCAGGCCCUGAACUUUCUCCGGUCUCCCUCUGUUGUCCAAGGCUGGAGGGUAGUAGUGCUAUCGCAGCUGACUGCAGCCUCAACCUUCCAGGCUGAAGCGAUCCUCCCAUCUCAACCUCCCACGUGGCUGAGACUACAGGUGCUUGCCACUACGCCCAACUAAUAUUUGGUUUUUUCAUAUACGUGGAUUCCAGAGGGGUGACAGCGAAACGUGGGACCAUCCAGUUUCAGGAAAACAAGCUUAACACGCCCACUGAUUCUACAUUAUGCUCCUACCUCCCGGCAGCCUCGCCAGGCCCAGAACUCUCUCCAGUCAGCCUCUACAGACCAAGCUCAUGACUCACAAUGGCCUAUUUAGGCCCAUAGCCUACCUCACGGCAGUCUCCGCAGAUGAGCCUACUGCCUCACAACAGCCUCCACAGGCACAGCUCCAUCGUUCCAAUGGCCUCUUUAGACCCAGCUCCUGCCGCCCAGCCUUCUCUCUAGGCCCUGAAGUUUCUCCGUGGGACCAUCCAGUUUCAGGAAAACAAGCUUAACACGCCCACUGAUUCUACAUUAUGCUCCUACCUCCCGGCAGCCUCGCCAGGCCCAGAACUCUCUCCAGUCAGCCUCUACAGACCAAGCUCAUGACUCACAAUGGCCUAUUUAGGCCCAUAGCCUACCUCACGGCAGUCUCCGCAGAUGAGCCUACUGCCUCACAACAGCCUCCACAGGCACAGCUCCAUCGUUCCAAUGGCCUCUUUAGACCCAGCUCCUGCCGCCCAGCCUUCUCUCUAGGCCCUGAAGUUUCUCCGUGGGACCAUCCAGUUUCAGGAAAACAAGCUUAACACGCCCACUGAUUCUACAUUAUGCUCCUACCUCCCGGCAGCCUCGCCAGGCCCAGAACUCUCUCCAGUCAGCCUCUACAGACCAAGCUCAUGACUCACAAUGGCCUAUUUAGGCCCAUAGCCUACCUCACGGCAGUCUCCGCAGAUGAGCCUACUGCCUCACAACAGCCUCCACAGGCACAGCUCCAUCGUUCCAAUGGCCUCUUUAGACCCAGCUCCUGCCGCCCAGCCUUCUCUCUAGGCCCUGAAGUUUCUCCGUGGGACCAUCCAGUUUCAGGAAAACAAGCUUAACACGCCCACUGAUUCUACAUUAUGCUCCUACCUCCCGGCAGCCUCGCCAGGCCCAGAACUCUCUCCAGUCAGCCUCUACAGACCAAGCUCAUGACUCACAAUGGCCUAUUUAGGCCCAUACCCUACCUCACGGCAGUCUCCGCAGAUGAGCCUACUGCCUCACAACAGCCUCCACAGGCACAGCUCCAUCGUUCCAAUGGCCUCUUUAGACCCAGCUCCUGCCGCCCAGCCUUCUCUCUAGGCCCUGAAGUUUCUCCGUGGGACCAUCCAGUUUCAGGAAAACAAGCUUAACACGCCCACUGAUUCUACAUUAUGCUCCUACCUCCCGGCAGCCUCGCCAGGCCCAGAACUCUCUCCAGUCAGCCUCUACAGACCAAGCUCAUGACUCACAAUGGCCUAUUUAGGCCCAUACCCUACCUCACGGCAGUCUCCGCAGAUGAGCCUACUGCCUCACAACAGCCUCCACAGGCACAGCUCCAUCGUUCCAAUGGCCUCUUUAGACCCAGCUCCUGCCGCCCAGCCUUCUCUCUAGGCCCUGAAGUUUCUCCGUAAGUUGAGGUAGCUGGGACUGUAGGUAUACAUGACGAUACUUGGCUAAUUUUUAAAUU
Long non-coding RNA from Gorilla gorilla gorilla (western lowland gorilla), 2019 nucleotides. RefSeq lists it as uncharacterized. The record is from RefSeq and is a predicted model, not a curated record. The transcript has 13 exons. Lineage: Eukaryota; Metazoa; Chordata; Mammalia; Primates; Hominidae.